Molecule: unclassified non-coding RNA, 331 nt
Filed under: uncultured fungus
Lineage: Eukaryota; Fungi
Description: partial contains small subunit ribosomal RNA, internal transcribed spacer 1, and 5.8S ribosomal RNA
Rfam family: Eukaryotic small subunit ribosomal RNA (bases 1-73)
Source: RNAcentral
GCAAACUUGGUCAUUUAGAGGAAGUAAAAGUCGUAACAAGGUUUCCGUAGGUGAACCUGCGGAAGGAUCAUUAACGAGUUUUGAACGGGGUUGUAGCUGGUCUUUUGAUUGAGACAUGUGCUCGCCUCACUCAAUCCACUCUACACCUGUGCACUUACUGUAGAUCAUGAGUUGAAAUGUGAAGUCAUUCAGUUGGCUUUGCACUCAGGUUCUAUGUUUGCUUUUACAAACAUCAAUGUAAUCAGAAUGUUUUUGUGUUUGAAACAUAACGCAUUUAUAUACAACUUUCAGCAACGGAUCUCUUGGUUCUCGCAUCGAUGAAGAACGCAGC